GACGAACGCUGGCGGCGUGCUUAACACAUGCAAGUCGUACGAUGACCCGGCUCUUCGGCGCUGGUGAUUAGUGGCGAACGGGUGAGUAACACGUGGGUGACCUGCCCUGCACUCUGGGAUAAGCCCGGGAAACUGGGUCUAAUACUGGAUACGACCAGUGGCCGCAUGGUCUGCUGGUGGAAAGCCCUUCGGGGUGGUGUGGGAUGGGCCCGCGGCCUAUCAGCUUGUUGGUGGGGUGAUGGCCUACCAAGGCGACGACGGGUAGCCGGCCGGAGAGGGUGUCCGGCCACACUGGGACUGAGACACGGCCCAGACUCCUACGGGAGGCAGCAGUGGGGAAUCUUGCACAAUGGGCGAAAGCCUGAUGCAGCGACGCCGCGUGAGGGAUGACGGCCUUCGGGUUGUAAACCUCUUUCGGCAGGGAACAAGCCUGGGGGUUUUCUUCUGGGUGAGGGUACCUGCGGAAGAAGCACCGGCUAACUACGUG
Molecule: ribosomal RNA, 487 nt
Filed under: uncultured bacterium
Lineage: Bacteria
Description: partial 16S ribosomal RNA
Rfam family: Bacterial small subunit ribosomal RNA
Source: RNAcentral